Long non-coding RNA from Nematostella vectensis (starlet sea anemone), 325 nucleotides. RefSeq lists it as uncharacterized. NCBI's taxonomy places the organism in Eukaryota, Metazoa, Cnidaria, Anthozoa, Actiniaria, Edwardsiidae. The record is from RefSeq and is a predicted model, not a curated record. The transcript has 2 exons.
CUUGGCAUUCCAAAGGCUAGAUAAAUUGAUUUAGCAGUUUAUAAUAUAUAUAUAGUGAAUAAUAUAUUUUGAGUGAGUGACUUUUCGGGGAAAUGUUUUUCAAAAUUACAUUCACGUGCGUGACGUCACAGGGAGUCCCCUAGCCUCCGACCAAUAGGCUGAGCUCUAUUUUUAUAACAAGACAGAAAGAGCGCGUCGUAGUCUCGCAUUUGCACACAUUCGUGAACCAAGACUGACACGAAUGUCUAGGAACUACUCGCGCUCCCACUCACGGGAACACUAUCCUCCAAGUCAGCACUCAAGUCACAAGUCAUCAUCAAAUAAA